This 381-nucleotide ribosomal RNA is filed under the name [Emmonsia] crescens. RNAcentral describes it as "Emmonsia crescens partial large subunit ribosomal RNA". It matches the Rfam family "Eukaryotic large subunit ribosomal RNA", at positions 207 to 590 of the family's 3401-position model. Lineage: Eukaryota; Fungi; Ascomycota; Eurotiomycetes; Onygenales; Ajellomycetaceae. The record is from RNAcentral.
AGAGGGUGAGAAUCCCGUCUUCGGCCGGCCGGCUUCGCCCAUGUGAAGCUCCUUCGACGAGUCGAGUUGUUUGGGAAUGCAGCUCUAAAUGGGUGGUAAAUUUCAUCUAAAGCUAAAUACUGGUCGGAGACCGAUAGCGCACAAGUAGAGUGAUCGAAAGAUGAAAAGCACUUUGAAAAGAGAGUUAAACAGCAUGUGAAAUUGUUGAAAGGGAAGCGCUUGCGACCAGAGUCGGCCGCGGGGGUUCAGCGGGCAUUCGUUGCCCGUGCACUCCCCCGUGGCCGGGCCAGCGUCGGUUUCGACGGCCGGUCAAAGGCCCCCGGAAUGUGUCACCCUUCGGGGUGUCUUAUAGCCGGGGGUGCAAUGCGGCCAGUCGGGAAA